GUUCGUGGAGUGAUCUGUCUGCUUAAUUGCGUUUCAGAUAUUGGAGUUAUAUGGGUAGGCUGUUAGUGUCCCCGUAACAAGGGACCUUUCUGGCUGAGCCCGGCUCCUUGAAAGCAACGAACGUGACCGCAGCCCUUUGUUGGGAGUCCACCGCUUCGGCGUUGCUGUUGACUCCCUAACUAAGGGGACCGCCAGGUUUUUUAAAACCGGAGGAAGGUUGCGGCAAUAACAGG
This 233-nucleotide ribosomal RNA is filed under the name Foraminifera sp. RNAcentral describes it as "partial small subunit ribosomal RNA". Lineage: Eukaryota; Foraminifera. The record is from RNAcentral.